GCUGGAAUGGUGGAAUCGGUAGACACAAGAGAUUUAAAAUCUCUCGGCUGCAUAGCCGUGGGGGUUCAAGUCCCCCUUCCAGCACCA
This 87-nucleotide transfer RNA is filed under the name Marinobacter sp. RNAcentral's name for it is "tRNA-Leu". It matches the Rfam family "tRNA". Rfam says of the family: Transfer RNA (tRNA) molecules are approximately 80 nucleotides in length. Their secondary structure includes four short double-helical elements and three loops (D, anti-codon, and T loops). The record is from RNAcentral. RNAcentral also lists the same sequence under 2 other names. Lineage: Bacteria; Pseudomonadati; Pseudomonadota; Gammaproteobacteria; Pseudomonadales; Marinobacteraceae.